This 14509-nucleotide long non-coding RNA is filed under the name Coffea arabica (coffee). Its description in RNAcentral is "long non-coding RNA (CARA_LNC001324)". The record is from RNAcentral. Lineage: Eukaryota; Viridiplantae; Streptophyta; Magnoliopsida; Gentianales; Rubiaceae.
AAAAUUGAAUUUGAAAUCCAUUUACCAAACACACUCUAAAUAUGCAUUCAAUGUUAUGUGUCACACAAACAGUAUUAAUAAGUAAAACUACGUAAUUUUGCAUUGGACAGAAAAAUGGACAAAUAUAAUGGACAUAGGAUCCCAUCUCCUCAAAAACUCUCACUUUUAAGACAAAUCUAUCUUUGAGAAUUGUUUUAAGAAAUUAGCCGGAUAUCACGGGAGUUUGUCUCUCUGUGCCCAUAGAAUAAGCUUUUUCUCACAUGGAUAUCUUAAGAGUUUUCUUUCCUAGUGCCCAUAGAGUAAGCUUUUUUCUCAUUGCAACAUCCACUACUACUCAUCCAUCUACAUCGUCCUUAUCCCAUUGUUGAUCAUCAAAUAAGUCCUCAGAUGGGUCGUUAACAAUCAUAUAUAUUAGGGAAAAGUUCCAAGAAGUCAUCUUUUAUUUUUUCCCUCAAUUCUGGAUAUGGGAGGAGCCCCUUCAAGAUCACUCUAUAAGGCAAUGAUAGCAGGGGAUCAGGAGAUAGCCUCAUUUUCUCGUAUAUGUCCAUUGCUUCCUUCGGUAGUCCACUGUCUAAGAAGGCCCUAAUGAGGUCACCAAAGGUGCGCUGAUCAAAAAGCACGCCUUCCCUCUUCAAGUCAUCCCAUACACUCCUGGCUUCGUCUACCCUUUUAUUUCUCGCUAGCAUCAUUAGUGUACAACCCACGAUUUUUGGGCUCAUUUUUGUUAUCUUGUCCACUUAAAUUAAAUGGUAAUUUACCAUGGGUAAAAGCAAAAAUAAUUUCAGGUUAGGUUAAAGGGUUAAUUAAGAGGUAGGAUGAGAUAAGAUAGGGUAAAAGUUCACAAUAGUUAAAACUCCUAUCUAAACCACCUACUAGUGGGUGGUUAUUAGGGUUUAGCAUACUUAUCAAAAUAACAAAGAAAAGAAAAAUAACAUUUUUUCUACCUUUCAUUAUUUGCCUACCCUAGAAUAAGAACCGUCAGAGAGUAGAGAAGGAAAAGCAGGCAUCGCCGUCAAUCAAUCGGGAGACUAGGCACCUAAACCUGUAUUCUCAAAUUCCCGCGAAACUUCCCUUUUAAGUUAUAUUAGUUGCAUUAAUUAUUCUAGAGAUUUUACGGAUAUGCAAUGUUGUUAUAUAUAUGUAGAUAUAUAUGUUUCUAUAAGAAAUUUAGGAGGAUUCAUAUUUGGGUUAGUGGAAAUAGGGUGUUAGAUUUUAAUCUUUGGAUAAGUAGAUUGCCCAAAUCUGUUGAAGAAAAGAAAAAAAAAAAAAAAAAAGAGAAGCCGCCGCUGCUCUGUUUUGGCUAGGCAUUGCAGAUAGAGCUGUUAAUCGAACCGGGCAGCUCGCGAGCCGAGCUCGACCCGGCUCGAUAAGGGCUCGACUCGGCUCGUUUAUUGAGAGAAACGAGCCGAGCUCGAGUUUAACUUGAUGCUCGUUUAAUAGACGAGCCGAGCAUAGCUCGGUUCGUUUAAGCUCGAUAGGCUCGAAUAGUAGGGGUAUUAGUGUCAUUUCAUUAUGUAUUUGAUACUCUACAGGCUCGAUAGGCUCGAGUUCGAACUCGAAAUUGCUUGAAUAGUAAGGGUAUUAGCGUCAUUUUAAUUGUGUAUUUGAUAUUCUACAGGCUCGACAAGCUCGAGUUCGAGCUCGAUAAGCUCGACUCGAUUUUGAACUCGGGUUCGAGCUCGAGCUCGAGUUUUCUACCGAGCACAUCGAGUCGAUCUCGAAUAGUUUGUGAAGCUCGAAUUACUAAUCGAGCGAGCUCGAGUUGGCUCGAUUAGGGGUUCGAGUCGAGCUCGAUUAUCACAUGCUCGAGCUCGACUCGGCUCGUUAACAGCACUAAUUGCAGAAGCAACGCAACAGGGAAAAAAAAACGAAAGGAAUUGCAAGAAUUGCAAGGGUUGGCCGAGGCCAACCCAAGACCAGAAAAAAAAAAAGGGGAAAGGAAAGGAGAUGAUAGGCAUAGUAUAUGGUUGGCCUUUUUGGCCAACCAAUGGGAGGAAUGGUCGCCAGAGGUCAAACAACUGGUUGGCCUUUUUGGUCAACCAUGGGUCCAAUCUGAGAAGGGAAAAAAAAAGGGACAAAUUAAAUGUAGAUCAAACUAUAAUAUAAAAUUAGUAAAUGUUUAAUAAAUACAUUUUAAAUAUAACUAGUCCAUUUUUUUUAUAGUUUAUUUUCAGGACCCAAUCUAAAGUGGUAGUUAGAACUGAAGGGUUAGUUAUUUAAAAUUAUACUUAAUUGAUUAAGUCUAAGAUACUUAAAUAGAAAUUUAAAACAUCUUAAUCUAACCUUAUAAGACAAUGUAAGAUAAGUUCUAGAUUGUUAAACGAAUUGCUUAACACCAUGAUGAUGAUGAUAAUAAUAAUAAUAAUAAUAGUAAUUAAUAAUUAAUAAAAUAAUGAUAGUAAGAUUAAUAACCAUAUAGACAUGGAGGAAAUACAUUAAGGAUAUAAAUGAAAAUAAAAGUAUAAAUACAAGUGCAAUAAACUAAGGCAAUAAUUAUAAUAAUAAGUCAAUAUAUAUAGGUACAUGUAUACAUAAAUAUUAAUAAUACCUACACACCCACAAAAGUGAAAAUAAAGCGAAAGAUAAUAGUAAUUAAUUAACAAAUAUAUGUAAAUGGUAAUAAAAUAAAGUAGCGACGACGAUGACGAUAAUAAUAAUGAAUAAUUAUAAAUUAUAAAUAUGUAUAGUAAGAUAAUAGUUAAGAUAAUAAAUAUGAUUAGGAAUAAUUAUUUUCUUUUAACUUAGGAAACUUUACAAAAAGGAGAACUUUCCAAAUUUAAAAACUUUCUAAAAAUAGAAACUUUCCAAAUUAGAAAACUUUCUAAAAAUCGUUCAAUUUAGGAAAAGGCUGCUAGAGUUCAUAUAAUGGUUUAGACAUAAAUCUUCAACUCGUUUAGAGUUUGUAUAUUUAUGCAUCUAUAAGAAAUAUCAACUAAUUAGGAAACAUGUGCAUUUGAUAGGUACGAUACAAGUUUAAAAGAGCUAAGGUAGCCCUACUCGAGCAGCCAGGCAAAGAUAGGUGGUACUUACCCUUCUGAGAUUUCAAAGAUGCAAAAUGAAAUUUUGUUUUCAGUCCUAUUUUGUUGUGUUGACUUAAAAUGUAUUUGAUUAAAUGCAUUGAUUGAAUAUCCAUGAAAGUUAUAUUUUCCUAUACAAAAUGGACCAUGUGACUUAUUUGAAAUGUUUUGAUAGUUAUUAUAUACCAAACGAGCUGAAUCUUUUAUGAAAUCAAGGAUCUAUGUAUGUGACAUGUGGGAUGAAUUUUUGACAAGUAAAUCUUAAAACAGUCAUGAAAUAGACGGUAGGGGCUAUAGUCCUAUCUAAUCGUCAUGGUAGUUUGGUAUAAAGCCCGGCCGAUUGACAAGGUCAAGGUAGCCUGGUAUAGAGUCCGACCGAUUGACAAAGCCAUGGUAGCCUGGUAUAAAGUCCGGUCGAUUGGCAAGGUCAUGGUAGCCUGGUAUAAAGUCCGACCGAUUGACCCAUGUAUGAAAUGAAACCAAUCGGUAGUUAUGAAAUCUAUUGGUCGCUCACCUAAAAGGGGUUUAAUCUCUAGGCUGAGUACUCGGUAGCCGGUCAUCACAUGUACUUGUUAUGAGCUAAUAUGAAAUGAUUUAUGAGCUAAUAUGAAAUGAUUUAUGAGUUGAUAUGGAAUGAUUUAUGAACUGAUCUGAAAUGAGACUUGUGAACUGAUUUAUGAAUUUAUUUAUGAACGGAUAUGAAGACACUUGUGAAUUGAGACGAAAUGAUUUAUGGCUUUAUGAUUUUUCAUGUACAUUUAUCAAUAAGAUACUUUUAAAUUGUUUGCCACUCGUUACUACUGAUUCUUUUAUAAACGACAUUACUUUCAAGAUUAUGGAUGUGAUCAAUGCGCAAAUGGUUUGAUUUGUAUCUAUAUGUGUAUCUAUAAAGUUACGAGUACAUGGUCCAACAGAGGGGUAGAUAUUACCUACUGAGCGAUUUGUCGCUCAACCCACUUUUGAUGUGAAACCCCGAUCUAGACAACCAAAACACCAUGGCUUAGGCAGCGAAAAUUUGACCCAACUAAUCCCUAGAAGUCACGAACAAUUUUGAUAUUAUCUCAACCCGUAACUACUCGAAUUAACGAACCAAAUUGGAGGUAGUAGAACGCCACAAUCAAGGAGAUACUCGAUUGAUAAGUUCAGGUGAAUAACUUGAGAAGAUUCUCAAGUAUUCAAAGGAAACUCUCUUGCCAAAGAGAAAGUGAAAACUCACUAAUUGUAUUUAAUAGCCAAAAAACUGAUCUCAAAACAAAGAGGAAGUGGGGCUAUUUAUAGCCCUUACAAGCAUUAACCCUAAUCCAAAAAUUGACCAAACUACCCUACAUACUUAAGGAAGAUUUUGGGCCUCACUUACUAACAAAUGGACCGCAAUUAAACUAGUUUAAUUACCUAGACUUUCUAAAGCGAGAAAUAACCAAAAUCAACGAGGAAAAUCAAAUAAUCCUACUAAACUCAAGUAUUAGUGCAAUCAACUGGUUUUCACUUGAAUCUUCCAAUUCCCCAUGUGCUUGAAUGGGCCUUGGUCUUUAUAUUCUCAUCAUUCCCCUCCUCUUAAAGGCGAUUUGUCCCCAAAUCAUGACUCUCUUACAAAACAAAAGUGAUGAGAGCAUGUGUAUAGUCACCAAGCAGCCUGCAUGUCGCCUUCUUAAGCGAAGAAUGAUCAUGACAUCCUUGUAUGGAACAAGGACAACUCGUGGUGGUGGUAGAUACAUGUUGCGGACAGCAAGAUUUCCAUGACAAUGGUCACACAAGCGACGUCUCAACCCUAUGGGUGGAUCGUGAGCGGACACCCGGUGAACCAAGGUGUGGUUGGGCUGCGAGUUGUACGCAUCAAGACGUGCAAACACUGCAUCAAAGGCCAAUGUAACUCGACUCAUGUUGGUUGGAAUUACUUGACCAGCACUCUCUUCGCAGAUCUCUAUGGUUGCGGGUAUUGCACACUGCAAGAUGAAGGAUAUCUAACCACGAACAACCUGCACAAAUGAAAACACGUUAAACACCACCAAGAUGGAACAAUCCAACUCCCAGUGCCCGAUGUUGUCCUCAGGCUUAGCGAGCAGGAUCAAUGUUCGCCCUUUCUUUUCCUUGCCUUCUAAUCGAUCCAACUCCCAUUCCCUCUGUAAAAUAUUUUGGUCCUCUCGAACUUGUGUAGGUGAGAGUGGAACAAGUAUGAUCCUUAUCCCUUUAUGCAUGAACGAGUAUUUGUUGGAAUGACCUUCAUAAGUAACCUCGCGAUCAAAUUGCCAAGAUCUUCCAAGAACAACAUGGGCAGCUUGCAUAGGAACCACGUCACACACCAACUCAUCCUCAUAUCUCCCAAUGUUAAAUUUCACAGAAACCUGCUUGGACACUCGCACUUCGCCGCAAUCACUAAACCAUUGAAGCUUAUAUGGUGUAGGGUGAUCUUGGACAGGUAGGUGUAACUUCUUGACAAAUAAGGCACUGGCGACAUUGGUACAACUUCCUCUGUCGAUAAUUAAGCUACACACUUUCCCGUUAACUAGACAUCGGGUAUAGAAGAUGUUGGUACGCUGCUCUUCUUCAUUUGUGCGUUGAGCACUCAAUGCCAACAUUGUAACAAGGCCUAGUCCAACUGGUUGGUCAGGGGCAAUUAUCUCUUCUUCCUCAACCAAUAGUGGCAUGCCUUCAUACUCAUCCUCCUCAUCUGUUAGCACUUCACCACUUGGAAGCAUGAGCAUGGUCCUUCGGUUUGGGCAUUGGGACGCGAUGUGAUCGAAACCUUGACACUUAAAGCACUUAGUGUCGCGGUUUCUAGGUUUAUAUGCCCCUAGAUCAGCCUUAAAUUCGGCCCUUUGGGUCGGUGUUGAAGAUGACAAACUAGGCACCCAUGCUCCAUUCGAAACCCCACUUGCCUUGGCUGACUUUUGCUCACUUGUGUGGGUAAUCUCGCCUUUAUACUGCUGAGUUCUCCAAUUUCCAGAUUGGACGUUGGAGCUUUGGUGGGGGAUACCCCUCCUCUUGAGCCUCCUUUCCAUCUUGAUAGCUUUGUCCAAUAAUUCAUCCAUGUCAAGAUAAUGUUGGAGCUCCACAACAUCUGCAAUUUUAGCGUGUAGUCCUCUCAGGAAACGUGUCAUGGUUGCCUCUAUAUCCUCCCGAACAUCAGCCCGCAGCAUGGCCAUCUCCAUCUCCUUGAAGUAAUCCUCAACCGUCAUACUACCUUGAGUGAGAGUUUGCAAUUUAUGGUGCAAAUCCCUGUGAUAAUACGCUGGUAUGAAGCGCUUCCUCAUGAUCCUUUUGAGUUCUUCCUAGGUGCGAAUGAGUGGUGCUUCAUUUCUCCUUUGUCUGGUGCGAAUCUGAUCCCACCAAACGGCUGCGUAUUCAGUGAACUCAAUGGUUGUCAACUUUACUUUUUGGGACUCUGAGUAGUAGUUGCAGUCAAAGAGCAUCUCAAUCUUCCUCUCCCAUUCCAAAUAUGCUUCAGGGUCCGACUUGCCUGGGAAGGUAGGAAUUUUGAGCUUGAUUCCCUUUAGUUCAUCAUCCCCUUGAUUAGGGAUGCGUUUAUAAUUCCGGAAUCGGUUUCCAUCUGCCAUGUCCUCCUCAUUGUUCGAAUCACCUAACUCCUCCACGUAUGGUUGUCUCUUGGAGGCAUUCUUGCCUAGGGUUGAUUGCUCCACCUUAUCCUCCAGUGUAUCAAUUCUCUGAGCCAUGCGAUCAAUGGCGCCUGUUAAUGCUUCAAGAACGUGUUUCAUGUCAUAAGGGUCACUUUUCGCAUGAGUUUGAGACAUGUUUAUAGAGUACCUGCAAGGCUCAACAAACAGUUAGUAGAAAUUGCCUCACUCACUCCCUUAGUGUAUCACUCACCCUCGUGUAUGUCACUCAAAGCGCUCCAAUGGACUUACCAAACACCUUUACCUAUUGGGUUAGGUAGUUUGAGAAAUGCUGCUCAAACCCAAAUAAUUGUCACCAACUUCUUCCUCAAGAGUAAUCACGGAGAUGUAGGAGAAAGUGUAGGGAAGUGUUCCUAAAAGUUAGGAGAAAAUAUAGGAGAAAGUGUAGGAGAGUGUUCCUAAAAUCUAGAAAGAGAAUAUAGGAGAGUUUCCUAAAGUGGAUGAGAGAAUAUAGGAGAGUUUCCUAAAGUGGAUGAGAGAAUAUAGGAAAGAUCCUAAAAAUGUAUGAGAGAAUUUAGGAAAAUUUCCUAAAAAUAGAUGGGAGACUUUAGAAAAGUUUCCAAAAGAAAUGGAUGAGAGAGUUUAGGAAAGUUUUCUAAAAAAUGGAUGAGAGAAUUUAUGAAAAUUUCCUAAAAAAAUGGAUGAGAGAAUUUAGGAAAGUUUCCAAAAAAAAAUGAAUGACAGAGUUUGGGAAAGUUUCCUAAAAAGGUAGCAGAGAGAGUGUCCAAGUGAGUACAAAGAGUUAUCCAAGUGCUUUACUUAGUUUCCUAAUUGAUUUUGAAAACAAGUUAGUUUUUGGAAACCCUUUGAAAAUCCUUUUCCUCUUGAAAAACUUUUGGUAACCUUCUUGAAACAACUUUUGGUAAUCUUCUUGAAACAACUUUUGGUAACCUUCUUGAAACAACCUUUGGUAAUCUUCUUGAAACAACUUUUGGUAACUUCCAAAUUCUACUCCAAGAAAGAUUGCACAAAUCAGAUUUGGUUCCCUAUUCAAAACAAUUCGGUUGCCAAUUUCUUUCCUUUCCUUUUUUUUUUUUUUUUGCCAACCGAUUCCUCUUUUCUUUCUUUUUCUUUUCGUUUUUGUUUUCUGUUUUUUUUUGACUACAACUAUCAACCACGACACAAAACAAGGAAGUCCACAAAUAAUAACUACCAAGAACUCCAAGAUCUUUCAAGAACUUUCAAGGAAGUUGUCAGGAACUUCAGAAAUUUCAAGAUUGUGAUCAAGAAUGCAAGAAACUCAAGAUUAUUGUAAGUUCUCUUCAAGAUUCACAAAAUUCCAACAAGUUUUGCCAAAAUCCAGAUUUGAAAACCAAGUAAACAAGUUGGAUAACACAAACAACAAGGCUGGACAGAUUUGUAUUCGGAUUAACAGUAACUAUGAACAAUGUCGGUGAACAGUACGGUGAACAUUACGAUGAACAGUGUUGGGUGAACACUACAGGUGAACAGUGACUCUUUUUUUUUUUUUUUUUGGUUCUAAACAAACGAACAAAUUGGGAUAAACAUAUAUGACUCGAAAUAAACGAAAAAAAAAAGAUAUAACCUGGUAGUUGUCGACUAGCUCUGGUACCAACUGAUGUGAAACCCCGAUCUAGACAACCAAAACACCAUGGCUUAGGCAGCGGAAAUUUGACCCAACUAAUCCCUAGAAGUCACGAACAAUUUUGAUAUUAUCUCAACCCAUAACUACUCGAAUUAACGAACCAAAUUGGAGGUAGUAGAACGCCACAAUCAAGGAGAUACUCGAUUGAUAAGUUCGAGUGAAUAACUUGAGAAGAUUCUCAAGUAUUCAAAGGAAACUCUCUUGCCAAAGAGAAAGUGAAAACUCACUAAUUGUAUUUAAUAGCCAAAAAACUGAUCUCAAAACAAAGAGGAAGUGGGGCUAUUUAUAGCCCUUACAAGCAUUAACCCUAAUCCAAAAAUUGACCAAACUACUCUACAUACGUAAGGAAGAUUUUGGGCCUCACUUAUUAACAAAUGGGCCGCAAUUAAACUAGCUUAAUUACCUAGAUUUUCUAAUGCGAGAAAUAACCAAAUCAACGAGAAAAAUCAAACUUUUUACCAUCUUUGCAGAUUGGGAAGAGUACGAAUUGAUUUACGUAGAAGACCCUGAGGACGACUUUAUUAGUUUUUAAGUGAACUAACUACUUCUAGCUGUUAAUUUUAUUUACCUUUUUUCCGCUGUUUCGACCAGAGAAUAAAUGUAUGAAUUUAUUGGAUAUUUGUAGACUACUUUUUAUAUGAUAUUUGUACUGCACUUUAUGUAGUUAUAUUAUUUAGUACUUUUAAAGUUUAGUAUAGUUAAAUGUUGCCUUGUAUUAUUGAGUGGGACUUGAGAGUACGGCGGAUGUCACAUGAUGGUCACGUGCGGGCUCAGGGGCUUGGCAAUUAGCAUAUCCCUGUAGAAGAACAUAUAUGGCCUAUACCAAAUUUCUUUACGGACCACCUCAUACAACUAAAAAGUAAAAGACAAAUGUAAGAAAAAGGAAAGACGUUACAGUUUAAUUACUGAUCCAUCUAUCAGUAGUAAAAGUUUGUACAAGCCUUAGAAUACAAGGUGUACGCUACAAUGAGAGAGUGGGUAGGACAUUUACAAUAACUUGUUAAUCUAGAGUUUUGAACCAAAAGAAUAACAAAAAACUCAAAGGCAAACACCAUGUCCAGAAUUCACUCGCAUAAGCACCAUAGGAGUACAAUGCAAAUCAGUUUCUUUUCAAUGAAUUUCAUGAUAUUGGUAUCUAAGUUCUAGCUCAUUCACAUUUCUGACAGCAAAUGGCUAUAGCAGUAUAAUCUAGAGUUUUGAACCAAAAGAAUAACGAAACUCAAAGGCAAACACCAAGUUCAAAUUUACUCGCAUAAGCACCAUAGGAGUACAAUGCAAAUCAGUUUCUUUUUAAUGAAUGUCAUGAUAUUAGUAUCUAAAUUCUAGCUCAUGCGAAUUUCUGACAACAAAUGGCCAUAGCAGUAUUCUGGUUUAUAAAAGAGACACACACCCUUACUUGUUUUCUCUAUACUUGAAUGCAGAAGUCCAAAGAACUAAUUUCACGGCUACAUUUAUAUGUGUAUGUCAGCUAGAGUUGCAAACACGGAGUAUUUCAGUUGUUCAAACCUAUCUAUAACUAAUGUGCAUGUGUAAGAUUGUGGAUGUGUGAAUUUGUUCUAGGCCUAAUACCACAGCCACUUGCAGAUCCUUUGUGCUAAAAAGAAUGGGUGAAGUUAAGAGCUUAGGUAAUUUGUUUCUCUUUCUUGAUUUCAGUAGAUGAGUAUGGUUAUUUGUCACUGAAUGAACCCUUUUCAGUGGCAAAUAUGCAAAGCUAAUGUCUAAAAUCCCGUCCAUUUUAUAUGCAUCCACAAUGGUCUAGACUUGGGUAGACUCGGAUUGUUCAAAGACCCAAUGACCCAAAUUGUGCCACACCAUCUCUACUAUAAAGGUAUAGUGGAAUUGAUUUUCAAUUUCCAAGCCAUCACUGAGGUAUUUCAAAAACCAGGUCCACUGCUCUAUAGCUUCCCUUUCUACAGCAACCCUGGCAAUAUGCCACCACCUAUUAUUAGGGUCAGCAGCAUUGGUAGUCAAUAACUGCCUCUAUAAGUCCCCUUUAGAUGUCACCUAUCCAAACCUAUUAUUGGCCUACAAUCAUCCUUAAAUCCUUUCUUCAAUGGCCCCAAAUAGCAGUAUAUGGUAAAAGCAAAUAAUUAGGUCAAAGUCAUUUUCACUCCAUUUUAUGGAGCGGAAGACAGCUCGUCGCAGACAAAAAUGCCCUUUGUAUUUCAGCGUGCUUUUGACGUGUUAUUAGCUACUGAACUUAACAGAUGGCCCAACAUUUUGCACUUUGGACAGAUUAGGAGGCCAAAAGUUCACCCAGCUAAUACUUUGAAGGCCACUAAGACUUUUUUCCCUUUAAAGAAUAUGUGUUUAUCACCACAUAAGGUUAUGCAGCGACAGACACACUCUUUUAAACACAAUUUUUUAUUUUUUUUUUACAAUGAACUAUAGCUUCACAAUUUUUUUUUCUAAAAAUUGUACAGAUUAAUUAAAUUCCUUGCACAAUUUUUUUAGCUAAAAAUUUUACAGAUUAAUUAAAGUCUUGUUAAUUAGUUAAUGUCCACAUAAAUCAUAAAAUCGCAAAAUCGUCUUAAAGUGACGUGAAAUUUGAAGUGAGGAAUUCUAAUAAAAAUUAUGUAAGUUUUACAUGUUAAGAAAAAAACUACUAGAUCUUGAAAUCCAUCCAAGCCCCUUGCAUUUACCACAUGGAGUGGUAUAGCAGUCCCAUUUUUUGUGAACGUUCGUGUGAUAGAUCUAUAGUCGCUCGAUUCUCCUAAGUUGUACCUGCAAUCCUAUAUGCACCUGUUCUUUCUCAUAAAUCAAGGAGCCUAUCAUAGGAGUCUUCCCACAACUGGGACAAGAUAGAUAGUAGAAGUAGCGGACCGAUCCACACUAGGAGUAGAGUAAUUGAUCACCUGUUCUACAGAUGGUCGAACAACAGAACUAGGGGAUCACCUGCACGUGGUUGAUUACUCUACUCCUGAUGCGGAUCGAUCGAUUAGCCAAAAUAGGGGUUCAUCACCUGCUCUUGGUCGACUACUCUACUCCAUGGAUCGGGUUCGCUAUUUCUAUCGAUCUACUCUAAUCGAUUUGCUACUUCCAUCGAUAUAUCCUAUCCUGGGAAAACUCCUGUGAUGGAAUCCUCGAUUCUUCUUGCCUGUGCAACCUAAGAGGUCCAAACAAUUGCAGCUUGUACAAAAUCUACGAAAGAGGUCCAAACAAUUGUAGUUUGUACAAAAUCUACCACACAGAAGAUUACACUGGAAAUGCGACUCCUCUACCAUUUCACGCGAUAAAGGUAAGCAUAAUUGAAUUUCAUGACCUAAUAAUUUUUUUCUUAAUAUGUAAAACUUAUAUCAUUUUUAUUAAAAUUCCUCACUUCAAAUUUCACAACACUUUAAGAUGAUUUUGCAAUUUUAUGAUUUUAUGUGGACAUUAACUAAGUAACUAAAUUUUAUUUCAUUUAUACAAUUUUUUUAGAUAACAUAAAUUGUGCAAAGACUUUAAUUAAUCUGUACAACAUAAAUUGUACAACUUUUCAUUUAUGCAAUUAUAAUUCAUUUAAAAGAGUGAGUCUAUUGCCGCAAAAGCUUAUGCUGCCACAAACACAUAUUUUUUUAAAAAUUAUGUUUCAACAAUUUUGUUUAAAAGAAUUAUUUUGAGAAAAAAUUGUGUUUAUCACUGCAUAAGCUUCUAGAGCUACAUACAUGUUCUAAAAAAAAGUUUUAAAAAAAUUGAGUUGUGUGCAACAACAAACACAUUCUUUAAAAAAAAAAAAAAAAUUGUAUCAGACACCAAGUAUGACACUUCUAUUUCAACGACGUUAAUAUUAGAAGCAUAUCUCAAAGAGAUGGGAUCCUCUGUCCAUUUUUUCUGUCUAAUGCAAAACUACGUAGUUCCACUUACUAUUACUGCUGAUGUGGCACAUAACAUUGAAUGCAUAUUUAGGGGGAUGUUUAAUAAGUGAGUUUCAAAUUCAAUAUUAUCCAUAAAUGAUGUUUGUUUAUACCUAGUUGUAUCCAUAAUCUUCUACUUUGAAAUUUCAUGCCACAUGAUUCAGAUGAAAUUAGGCAAGCAUUUGAAAACGAGAUCCUUGAAUUUAUCAGAGUUACAAUUACGUGCAGUCAUGUUGAUAAGUUCCAUUUUUAUCAUUAAUUUUACUAUUGUUUCCCUCGUUUAUUCUACCAAAUAUUGCGUUAAUUGGCGAGUUUUACUCAUUUUUGGUAAUUGUGUUAGUUGCAGGGAUUUAAAGCAAAAAGUAAUUAAAAGGCGUGAUUUUUUACUGGAUCUGCUGUUCAGCGUAGGCACGUGGAAGUUUAACUUUUUCAUGCCCGGAGAUCUUGGGAGUUGAAGCGGAAGUUCCAGCCGUUGAAGUCUCGAAGUCCGAUCACAGAUGCUUCAUCAUAUGAUCAUUGUUGAUCUUUUCGGAUAAGAUGAUUUGUUAGAUCAAUUUGAUUUGGCUAAAUAAUAGUAGUCUACUAAUAGUAGGAAACAUGCGGUAUUAUUGAUAGUAGAAGCUGAAUAGGAAACAAAAAGAGAGAAAAAGCCGGAUUCCUAUUUGAUUAGGAGUUGGCCAGCAACAAUUUCGGGAUGAAUUCUUUUGAAGUAUUAGGCCGUCACUUGUCUUUCGGCCGAGUCUCUUUCAUUAGUCUUUAGGCAAAAACCAAUUGUUAUCAAUAGAGUCCUACGGAUUUCCCUUGAAGAUGCGUAGCUAAAUCUCCAUUUUCUAGUUGGAUGUCAACUUGAAAACUUGAUUCCAUACAUUUGUAAGAUCGAAUUAUUUUACUUAUUUCUUUUAUUCAUUGAUAUUCGUAGGUUUUCUGAUUUAACUUCUUAUGAUUAUUUUAUUGUUUGAAUAUUAAUGGUUCGAUAUUCGAAUUAACCUAAUAAUUUAUUGACAGAUUAAUUGAUUGAAUCCGUAAUUAUUUAAUCAAUUAAUACCAGUGCGCGACUAACGUGAUUGGUCCCAUGUUAGGAAAACGUAUGAUCUAAUUUAAACAAACUCUUGUAGCGUGACUUUUCUAAUUCUUAAUGCAAGUGAGAAAUUGAAUCCUACAACCAUAACUAGGGUUAUUUCUUAGUUAGGAAAAUAGUCGACAGACAUACCUUGACUAUCGAAAAAAUAAGAAAAAGUUGGUUAUUUAUUACGUGUAUGGCAACUAUAACCAAUAUAUUAAUAAAUAAUUGAAUUAUCAUUGCAUCGAUGAUCAGUUGAAUGAACCGUGUCUGAAAAAUUACACCUUUGGUUAGAGUCGUGCUUAUUAUCGAUUAAUUCCUAUUAAUUUCCGUUAGUUGUUUUAUUAGUUGGUUAAUUAGUCUCUGUUUGGAUCCCCUAUUUUUUAAGUGUUUUUCAAAUACAAUAAAAAUUUUUAAAAAGUACUCUAAAAGGUAAUUUAAAAAUUAGUUCAAAUUUUUUAAAAUUUUAAAAAUUAUUUCAAAAUAUAUUCUAGAAACUCUUCUACUCUUUAAUAUUUCAAAAUAUUUUCUAAAAAUAUUCCAAAAUACAUUCUAAAAACUCUGUUACAGCAAAGUUUUUAAAUAUUUCCAAACGGCUAACCCAAAACUAUUUUCAAAAAUCCCCCAUGCUCUGAACUCUAGAAAAAAUGAAUUAUCCCCGAUCCCUGUAGAUUCGACCUUAUUCACCGCUAUAUACAAAUUGUAUUUUUCUUGAGUAAGUAAUUAUUAUUGUACAGGCUCGACACUUGUCACAUGUUGAUUCAGAGAGUAGGCUAUCCAUAUUAAAAUUGAAUUUGCAAUCCAUUUACCAAACACACUCUAAAUAUGCAUUCAAUAUUAUGUGCCACACAAACAGUAUUAAUAAAUAAAACUACGUAAUUUUGCAUUGGACAGAAAAGUGAACAAACAUAAUGGGCAGAAGAUCCCAUCUCCUCAAAAACUCUCACUUUUAAGACAAAUCUAUUUUUGCGAAUUAUUUUAAGAAAUUAGCCGGAUAUCACGGGAGUUUGUCUCUCUGUGCCCAUAGAUAAGCUUUUUCUCACAUGGAUAUCUUAAGAGUUUUCUUUCCUAGUGCCCAUAGAGUAAGCUUUUUUCUCAUUGCAGCAUCCACUACUACUCAUCCAUCUACAUCGUCCUUUUCCCAUUGUUGAUCAUCAAAUAAGUCCUCAGGUGGGUCGUAAACAAUCAUAUUAGGGAAAAGUUCCAAGAAGUCAUCCUUUAUUUUUUCCCUCAAUUCUGGAUAUGGGAGGAGCCCCUUCAAGAUCACUCUAUAAGGCAAUGAUAGCAGGGGAUCAGGAGAUAGCCUCAUUUCCUCGUAUAUGUCCAUUGCUUCCUUCGGUAGUCCACUGUCUAAGAAG